GGUCCGUAGGCGGGUCGGUAAGUCAGGGGUGAAAUGGUGCGGCUCAACCGUAGCACUGCCUUUGAUACUGUCGAUCUUGAGUUAUGGUGAAGUUGCCGGAAUAUGUAGUGUAGCGGUGAAAUGCAUAGAUAUUACAUAGAACACCGAUUGCGAAGGCAGGUGACUAACCAUGUACUGACGCUGAUGGACGAAAGCGUGGGGAGCGAACAGGAUUAGAUACCCUGGUAGUCCACGCCGUAAACGAUGGAUACUAGCUGUCCGGUACCUUGAGUACUGGGCGGCCAAGCGAAAGUGAUAAGUAUCCCACCUGGGGAGUACGUUCGCAAGAAUGAAACUCAAAGGAAUUGACGGGGGCCCGCACAAGCGGUGGAGCAUGUGGUUUAAUUCGAUGAUACGCGAGGAACCUUACCAGGGCUUAAAUGUGCGCCGACAGGUCCAGAGAUGGAUUUUCCCUCGGGCGUCGCACAAGGUGCUGCAUGGUUGUCGUCAGCUCGUGCCGUGAGGUGUCAGGUUAAGUCCUAUAACGAGCGCAACCCCUGCCGUUAGUUGCCAGCAUGUAAAGAUGGGGACUCUAACGGGACUGCCGGUGCAAACCGUGAGGAAGGUGGGGAUGACGUCAAAUCAUCACGGCCCUUACGUCCUGGGCCACACACGUGCUACAAUGGCCGGUACAGAGAGCAGCCAUGCUGUAAAGCAGCGCGAAUCUACAAAGCCGGUCACAGUUCGGAUUGGGGUCUGCAACCCGACCCCAUGAAGCUGGAAUCGCUAGUAAUCGGAUAUCAGCCAUGAUCCGGUGAAUACGUUCCCGGGCCUUGUACACACCGCCCGUCAAGCCAUGGAAGCCGGGAGUGCCUGAAGUCCGUCACCGCAAGGAGCGGCCUANGGCAAAAUCGGUAACUAGGGCUAAGUCGUAACAAGGUAGCCAUCUUUCUAGAANAUCUC
This 942-nucleotide ribosomal RNA is filed under the name uncultured Bacteroidota bacterium. Its description in RNAcentral is "bacterial SSU rRNA". It matches the Rfam family "Bacterial small subunit ribosomal RNA", at positions 566 to 1529 of the family's 1533-position model. Lineage: Bacteria; Pseudomonadati; Bacteroidota. The record is from RNAcentral.